This 559-nucleotide long non-coding RNA is filed under the name Nicotiana tabacum (common tobacco). RNAcentral describes it as "long non-coding RNA (NTAB_LNC008058)". The record is from RNAcentral. Lineage: Eukaryota; Viridiplantae; Streptophyta; Magnoliopsida; Solanales; Solanaceae.
CCCCGAUCGCCUAAAAAUUUUUCCGGCCAUCAAAUAUGACAUAAGGAACCAUAGUAACCACCCCGCCAUGAUCGUUCCUCAAUUUUUGCAUUUUUUGGCCAAACAACUAGAAUUACGCGCGAUUCCCAUAUUUUUGGGUGUUAUAGCCCACGCCUUCCAAGUGGUCCCGGGACCUCCUGACCCCUAUCGCCUAAAAAUUUUCCGGACUAUCAAAUAAGACCUAAGGAACCAUAGUAUCCGCCCCGCCAUGAUCGUUCCUCAUUUUUAGCGUUUUUCGGCCAAACAACUAGAAUUCCGCGCGAUUCCCAUAUUUUUGUGUGUUAUAGCCUACACCUUACUAAUGGUCCCGGGACCUCCGGACCCCUAUCGCCUAAUAUUUUUCCGGACUAUCAAAUAAGACCAAAGGAACCAUAGUCACCGCCCUGCCAAGAUCUUUCCACAUUGUUUGCAUGUUGCUGAAAAAGACCUAGAAUUUCGCUUGAUUCCCAUAUUUUCGUGUGCUAUACCCACGCAUUCCGAGUGGUCCCAAGAGCCGCGGACCCCGAUCGCCUAAAAUUUU